UGGUGUCGUAAGGUUUAAAUUCUGACACUUGCUGCAUUGUUCCGGAUGCUCUUAUUUGCAUACAGUGCACAGAAAGAGAUUAGACAGAGAAUUGAGGUCAAGUCAGCAAGGGCGUCUGCUGAGGGCUACAGCUGCCUCUGAGCAAAUAACCCUCGGUACCAUUUAGAGCAAGUCAUGUGGAUCAGACCACUGCGUAUAUUUAAAAAAAGACUCACGACAAGGAAUCUUUCAAAGGCUCUUUCAGAUAGUGGUGACUGUGCUCGAAGUGUUACAAAGAAAAAUAAGGAAUUGUUUUAAGGUCACCUCUGCAGCCCAUGAUGAUUGAAAUCGGACAACACCUGAAAUGUUGAGAGAAGGAAUCCAGGCUUUCUCAGGCGAUUAAUAAUGUCCGGGAGAUGCUGAUAAUUCAGCUGGUCUUGUGCAACUUUGACAGUAAGUGACAAAACUGUCAGAUCCCUGUUAAUUAAACUUGGUUUACCCCCAAAUGGCUGACUGCAAGAAAAUGACAUUUUCAUCUCACUCAUGGUCUGUAUCUCUCACGCAGAACCCGGGGAUCACAUACUCACAGCCGAGACAAGCAUUUCCACUGCUGGUUACAUUUCAAAACGAAUUCAGUUUGUUGCUACUUGCUGAUUUAAAUUGUUUGUUUACAUGCUGUGCGCUGUUUUGGAGUUGAUCCAAAAUAGUGUAUUUAAGGCCAACACUUUUUUUUGUAAACACGCCCAAAGUUAUCAUAUUCUUCAUCAGGGGCACUGCCAUUAAUUGCCUUUAUGCACAACAGCAGUCUCUUUUGCAUGUGCCCAAAAUUCCUGUUUUAAGCUUUUAAAGCAGUCAUGAGAUUUGAAGUUGCAAGAGCAAUUUAAAAAAAACACUUUAAAAAGUGACAUCCAGAACAGAAAACGUUUGUAAUUUGGCCGUGAGCUGAAAAGCCGCAGGGAUUUCUUCCAGAGGGCGUAGUGGAGGGCAGCAGAAAAAGGGGUUGCUGUUAUGAGUCGUCAGAAGACAAGCAUCCCAGGAUGGUUACAGAUGAGCUACAAAGGAUGUACAAAAGAUGAAUGUGACACUCGUUGACAGCAGAUCUUCUGGAAGGUGUGGCUGCAAGCAGCAGCAGACGUCUAGUGGGGUAGAACGCCACUCUGAAGGAGUCAAUUUGGAGUGCAAAACAUGGUGAUUUUAUCAAGUCAGCAUUUACAAUGGUUUAAAUCAAACGUGAGCUUAAAGGGCAGCCUCUAGGCUUCCUCUGAUUUCGAUUUUCCAGUUCAACACUUUCAACUUCUCACCUGUCUUUUGAAGCUUUCAAAGCAUGGACCUGUUCCUCAUUAUGUGGACACUUCUAAAACAUCUUCUAAACAUUUCCAACUGAAUUAUCAAUCUCGCCACUAACUUGCAGAACGGCGCAGGGUGAGGAGGGCAGAUCUUAAGUCUUCGUUAGCCGUGACGGGAAUUGCAUCCAUGUUGUGGACACUUUUCCGCAUCGCAUGCUAGCCAUUCAGCCAACUGAUCUAUCCAGUCUCCAAGCAACAUUAGCCUCAUCAUUAUUUUGAAAGCAAAGUGUGUCCCAUUAUCUCAUUUUGUAAUCUGCAAAUGAUUUCAGGGAACCACUCCAAAGCUCAGUGACAGGCAUCUGAAUGGAUGUAAAUAUGUAGAUUUGUUGCCUUCAGCAUUUUAUAAUGCAUAUAAACAUACUAAGUAAGCUUUUUUAGAAAUGAGAUAUGCAAUGUAUGACACAGAUCUUUUAUCAGCUUCUAUCACCCUGGAGAACAGUAGAAUUUUAUUAAAGAAUAUCUUUGCCAAACAUUGGGCAAUAUUGUACAUUGAUGAAUAACCUCAUUUGGAGAUCAGAAUCUUAAAGCUUUAUAGAUGCAAAAUUACCAAUAUGGGAAUUAUUUUGUUUUUCUCUAAUACUUACAUCUGUCUCUGCAACUCAUUUUCCUGUGUCGGAAAAAUCUACAGCUAUGGUGUGCAGUGAGUAAAAAUGUAAGGGAAGAUUUUCUGUUUGAAUAUUUUUGGUUGGUGACUUAGCAACAAUCAUAUAAAUCUAUCAGCAGACUUCAUGAAUUUUAUAUAUCUUAUAAUUGCAAUAUUUGAAAUGACCAUUGGGAAAUUAGUUUGAAUUAUUUCUAAGUUAAUUUCUGAACAACUAACUGACCCAAACUGCCCUGGACAAAUUGAUCUGGGCGAUAGCACAUCAGCUGCAAAUACUAAAGAAUGUUUUCUCAAACCAAAUAAGCACUCAAACUAUUUUGGAGGAGUUUUCGUUUUGCAUAUUUAUUUGGAGAAUAGAAAGAAGCUAGUGUGAAAUGGGCCAGCAAUAUGUUAACCCUUGUUGGAUGCUGUCACAAAUAAUCCUACAAUUGCUUCUGAUUCAAAUGCCCUUAAUCCACUUUAGAUAAACAGAGGGUAACUUGGCAGCCAACUGAGCAAUAUACCACAUUUGAGGUAUUUCUUUUUGAUGAGUGUGAUUUCAUCUAAAUCCCAAACAGAUUUAAAUAAAAACAUUUAGUGCUGGAUAUACUUACAGAUCUGCCAACAUCUGCUGAGAGAGGAAAUAUGUUAAUAUUUCAGGUUGAGGUUUCAUCUGCCUGUUUCUCUCAACAUAGGUGUUGCCAAUUCUGCUGAGUAUUUCCAGCAUUUUUAGCUUCUAUUUCAGAUAUCCAGUAUAUGUAAUACUUCACUUUUCCAAAAUAAUUCUAGUCUGAUCAAUCAAGUCAGUUUAGUUUGUGUAACUGAAGUCAUCAUCACAAGGCAUUCAUCCAUAUCCCUGAAGAAUGGAUUUUAUCUGUUCAUGUUGUUUGAGGGUCAUCCUGGUUGAAUUGAAGACCAGAGGUUUGUAGGGUCCUAUAUAGAAUGUAGGAGGUCUUGUGCAGUGUGUAGUGUCCCUGCCUCUGGGCCAGACACGAUCAGUUGGUGUCCAACCCAGGACUUGAUUGUCAAGCAAGGUGAAUUCAUAAUAUCAGCCAACCUGAAAGUCCUGACAACACACACUUCAAUGGCAAGCAGUAAGGAUGGGAGAGAUUCCUGGUCACAUGUGAUGGAAAGAACAUUAGAACUUGAACCAUCACUGUUGAUAGCUCCGGACUACAACCCGAAAGUGAAUGUGUAUGUUGCCAUAGCAAUUUGUACCUACUGAGUGAACUGUAACACAUCACAUGGACAUUGUCCAAAUUGGUCAUAAAUUGUGCCAAAUAACAUGCAUAGCUGUGACUUUGCCUAACUCACUGGGACGCUAGAGUUUGAGGGUUGGUGACACAGUUUUUUGACAGAGGCUAACAAGUACAGCCUCACUUGCUGUUCCAAAUUGGCACAAAACGCCAGCUUGAAGAUUCAGCAGCCUUGGUAAACUUGUUGAAAAAUGAAUACACAGUUUUACAAAUCCCAAAGUGCAGGCACAAAUUUUUAAUUUCUCCUGCUCUCCAGCCUAUCACAGACCUUCCCCUUUUGUUCUUCUUCCCACCUUUUCACCUUUGGUUUGCUCACAGUCCAUUACAUUUCUAACUGUUCUCAGUUCAGAUAAAAGGCCAGAAAUCUGUAAUAUAAAUUCUGUUUCUCUCCCAACAUGCUGAGCGUUUCUAGUCACUUCUGUGUUCUUUAUUAUCAUAAGGAUGCUUCUACCUAUGAAUAGGGAAAGAAGAGGAAAGUUAGAAAAGAAAAUUGAGCAGAGAAUAAAAUAAGUUGACAAUUCUCCAAUGUUUGUCUUUUGCAAAGUCAAUUAUCACACUGAGUUAGAAAAUACUUUCUACCCAGAAUACAGAACGUACAAAUAAAACUGGUGAGAGAUUAAUUGCGGGUGUAUUUCAUGUGCUAUUGUACAUAAGGAGACUGAAAGGGAGAUUUUAUGUUCCAGGGGAAAAGGUAAAGGAGCCUGCUGCAAUUUCCACAGCUGAACUGUCUGACUCACUCAGAGAAAGAGGAAGAUAACAACAGGAAAGAUUACUUGAUUUAUCAUAUCAAUGCAGCACCACACUUUUAAAACAUUUCUUGCCGCAAGAAAUGUGCUGUGCCAAAAAUACCAAGAAGCCAAUUUGUCUAGUGAAGAUGCUAAAUGUUGCUCAACCUCACAGUCAGAUACUCUGUUUCGCUUUGAGUGUUCAAUAUAAUUCAACUCACCAAACAGGGAAUUGUAAAGGAAUUAGAAGACAAACAGCAAUGAAACUUUAAACAUUGCUUAAUUGAGCAGUUACUUAAUAAUUUAAAUCUUCAUGCAUAUUCAUUUAGCUAACAGAAUAUAUUAAUUUAACAGUUUUGAACCCAUAUCAUUUAUAAUACAUUAUAAAUAUUCAUCAAUUUUCUUCACUACCAUCAUGAUCUUUGCUUUACAAAUGACUUUGGUUUUAAAGUUUGAAAGCACAAUUCGAUUUCUUUCAUACUUUUAAACAUUGUAGUACUGUAUUCAUGUCAUUCUCUUUUUCUUAUAUUAUAAAUGAAGAGUGUUGAGCAGAAAUAGUUUAACUCUGUCCUCAUGCUGCACUCCAUGCCACUUAGGGAACCCACAAGUGGUUGGGUGCAGGAACGGUAGCAGUGCCACCUAGUCAGUAGACUAUUAACUCUAAUGCUUAGUGCUAAUGUAUGAUAGAGCAAUCUCAAGGGAGCUUCUUUCUGUUUCUAACCAUGUGUUCUUUUGUAACUGAGUUGAAAAUUGGGAGAAAUGAAUUUAGGGCAGUUACUAGCAAAUCCAGCACUAAAUUUUCUUCAUCCAGAGAGUGUUUAGAUUGUCAAGCUCAUAGUUGAGGUGAAUAGUGCUGAUGCCUUUAAGGGGAAACAAGAUAAACACAAGAUGGAGAAAGGAGUAGAAGGACUUUGCUGAUGGGUUAGACAAAGACAAAUCAAAGAAGAUUUAGGUGGAAUAUAAGCACAUGCUCAGACUAGUUGGGCUGAUUGACCUGCUCUCGUGCUGUAAACCUCAUGCAAUUCUUUCCAAAACCUGAACUGGUUUGAUCCAAAGAUUGUGGUCUUGAAAUGGAAAGUAUUCCAUUCUUUCAUAGGCAACAUUCCACACUUUGAUGAGUACAGCACUCAAUGGAAAAAAGACAUUAAUUUGUCACAGGCUCCUGUAGCCACAUUGUGAACACACCCUCGGCUCCAAGCAAACAUAGCAGGGCGAUACAAGUUCUUUGAUGCAAAAUGAGAACCUGGGUGAAGAUCAAAGUUCAGUGUUUCAGUAUUAGAGUAACUAAUGCCUUUUUCUUGCUGCUCUUUUAAGCCUGAAUAGUGCUGAUCAAUUUAUUGUGUAACUUUUAACGUGAAGCUAUCUUUAUUUCCAAAAUGGCUUUCUUUUGCAUAUCUCUCAGAAGUUAUUACAAUCAUAACAUCACAAUAACAGAAGACUUCUUUAAGUUUAAUGUUUCUAUUAAAUGUAGUUUAUUUAUGAAUAAAAAAAAUCAAUAAGAAUGAAAA
Rhincodon typus (whale shark) is the source of this 5394-nucleotide long non-coding RNA. RefSeq lists it as uncharacterized. The transcript is spliced from 3 exons. Lineage: Eukaryota; Metazoa; Chordata; Chondrichthyes; Orectolobiformes; Rhincodontidae. The record is from RefSeq and is a predicted model, not a curated record.